RNAcentral lists this ribosomal RNA (433 nucleotides) under uncultured bacterium. Its description in RNAcentral is "partial 16S ribosomal RNA". It matches the Rfam family "Bacterial small subunit ribosomal RNA", at positions 29 to 507 of the family's 1533-position model. The record is from RNAcentral.
AACGAACGCUGGCGGCAUGCCUAACACAUGCAAGUCGAACGAGACCUUCGGGUCUAGUGACGCACGGGUGCGUAACGCGUGGGAACCUGCCCUUAGGUUCGGAAUAACUCCCCGAAAGGGGUGCUAAUACCGGAUAAUGUCUUCGGACCAAAGAUUUAUCGCCUUUGGAUGGGCCCGCGUUGGAUUAGCUAGUUGGUAGGGUAAAAGCCUACCAAGGCGACGUUACAUAGCUGGUCUGAGAGGAUGAUCAGCCACACUGGGACUGAGACACGGCCCAGACUCCUACGGGAAGCAGCAGUGGGGAAUAUUGGACAAUGGGCGAAAGCCUGAUCCAGCAAUGCCGCGUGAGUGAUGAAGGCCUUAGGGUUGUAAAGCUGUUUUAACCGGGAUGAUAAUGACAGUACCGGGAGAAUAAGCUCCGGCUAACUACGUG